RNAcentral lists this ribosomal RNA (304 nucleotides) under uncultured Planctomycetota bacterium. Its description in RNAcentral is "bacterial SSU rRNA". It matches the Rfam family "Bacterial small subunit ribosomal RNA", at positions 29 to 351 of the family's 1533-position model. Lineage: Bacteria; Pseudomonadati; Planctomycetota. The record is from RNAcentral.
AAUGAACGUUGGUGGCGUGGAUUAGGCAUGCAAGUCGAGCGACAAGGCCCUUCGGGGCUGGAGGAGCGGCAAACGGGGUAGUAAGGCGUCGGAACGUACCCUUCACUCAGGGAUAGCGGCGGGAAACUGCCGGUAAUACCUGAUAAUCUCUGGCGAGCAAAGGUCUGCCGGUGAAGGAGUGGCCGACGUGGUAUUAGGUAGUUGGCGGGGUAAUGGCCCACCAAGCCUCAGAUGCCUAGGGGGUGUGAGAGCACGACCCCCACCACUGGGACUGAGACACUGCCCAGACACCUACGGGUGGCAG